GGCCCAAUGGUCUAGUAGUAUGAUACGUGCUUCGGGUGUUCAGUCACUCGCUCCUUUCUGGAGCUUCGUUGCACGGGGUCCCGGGUUCAAUUCCCGGUUGGGCCC
RNAcentral lists this transfer RNA (105 nucleotides) under Schizophyllum commune. Its description in RNAcentral is "tRNA-Pro". It matches the Rfam family "tRNA". From Rfam's summary of the family: Transfer RNA (tRNA) molecules are approximately 80 nucleotides in length. RNAcentral also lists the same sequence under 1 other name. Lineage: Eukaryota; Fungi; Basidiomycota; Agaricomycetes; Agaricales; Schizophyllaceae. The record is from RNAcentral.